UAAGUGCCCCGCCUGGGGAGUACGGCCGCAAGGCUAAAACUCAAAGGAAUUGACGGGGGCCCGCACAAGCGGCGGAGCAUGCGGAUUAAUUCGAUGCAACGCGAAGAACCUUACCAAGGCUUGACAUGUGCCAGACCGCCGUGGAAACACGGUUUCCCCUUUGGGGCUGGUUCACAGGUGGUGCAUGGUUGUCGUCAGCUCGUGUCGUGAGAUGUUGGGUUAAGUCCCGCAACGAGCGCAACCCUCGUUCCAUGUUGCCAGCGCGUAAAGGCGGGGACUCAUGGGAGACUGCCGGGGUCAACUCGGAGGAAGGUGGGGACGACGUCAAAUCAUCAUGCCCCUUAUGUCUUGGGCUUCACGCAUGCUACAAUGGCCGGUACAAUGGGUUGCGAUACUGUGAGGUGGAGCUAAUCCCAAAAAGCCGGUCUCAGUUCGGAUUGGGGUCUGCAACUCGACCCCAUGAAGUCGGAGUCGCUAGUAAUCGCAGAUCAGCAACGCUGCGGUGAAUACGUUCCCGGGCCUUGUACACACCGCCC
RNAcentral lists this ribosomal RNA (536 nucleotides) under Arthrobacter sp. AQ5-05. RNAcentral describes it as "bacterial SSU rRNA". It matches the Rfam family "Bacterial small subunit ribosomal RNA", at positions 861 to 1395 of the family's 1533-position model. The record is from RNAcentral. Lineage: Bacteria; Bacillati; Actinomycetota; Actinomycetes; Micrococcales; Micrococcaceae.